GCGAAAGCAUUUGCCAAGAAUGUUUUCAUUAAUCAAGAACGAAAGUCAGAGGUGCGAAGGCGAUCAAUACCGCCGUAGUUCUGACCGUAAACGUUGCCGCCUGGCAAUUGGGCGCACUUCUGUCGAAGUUGCCGCCAGCAGUAUUGCCCGGGAAACCAAAGUCAUUGGGUUCCGGGGGGAGUAUGGUUGCAAAGCUGAAACUUAAAGGAAUUGACGGAAGGGCCACCACCAGGAGUGGAGCCUGCGGCUUAAUUUGACUCAACACGGGGAACCUGCAACCCGGCCCGAACACUGUUAUGACAGACAGGUUGAGAGCUCUUUCUCGAUUCAGUGGUUGGUGGUGCAUGGCCGUUCUUAGUUCGUGGAGCGAUUUGUCUGGGUAAUUCCGAUAACGAACGAGAUUCUUGCCUGCUAAAUAGACGGCGCCGCCUCAGUACGGCGACCGAUCGCUUCUUAGAGGGACAAGCGGCUUUAGCCGCGUGAAGCAGAAGAGCAAUAACAGGUCUGUAUGCCCUCAGAUGUUCGGGGCCGCACGCGCGCUACACUGUUUGCAUCAGCGUGUUUCUCCCGCGCCGGCUGGCGUGGGCAACCCGUUGAACCGCAAACGUGCUAGGGAUCGGAGAUUGCAAUUGUUCUCCGUGAACGAGGAUUCCUUGAUCUGGCGAGUCAUCAGCUCGCGGGGAAUCUGUCCCUGCCCUUUGUACACACCGCCCGUCGCUACUACCGAUUGAGUUGGUUUAGUGAGGCUCACGGACUGCGCGCGGCACACGGCGCUUUCGGGCGUCGCGUCGCGUCGCGGAAAGUGAGACGAACUUGAUCACUUCUAGGAAGUAAAAGUCGUAACAAGGUUUUCGUAGGUGAACCUGCGGAAGGAUC
This 876-nucleotide ribosomal RNA is filed under the name Watersipora arcuata. RNAcentral's name for it is "SSU rRNA". It matches the Rfam family "Eukaryotic small subunit ribosomal RNA", at positions 945 to 1827 of the family's 1831-position model. Lineage: Eukaryota; Metazoa; Bryozoa; Gymnolaemata; Cheilostomatida; Watersiporidae. The record is from RNAcentral.